This 71-nucleotide transfer RNA is filed under the name bacterium. RNAcentral describes it as "tRNA-Pro". It matches the Rfam family "tRNA". Rfam says of the family: Transfer RNA (tRNA) molecules are approximately 80 nucleotides in length. The record is from RNAcentral.
CGGGGUGUAGUAUAAUGGUAGUACAUGCCCUUGGGGUGGGUAGGGCCCGGAUUCGAUUUCCGGCAUCCCGA